UACGUAGGGUGCAAGCGUUAAUCGGAAUUACUGGGCGUAAAGCGUGCGCAGGCGGUUUUGUAAGUCAGAUGUGAAAUCCCCGGGCUUAACCUGGGAACUGCGUUUCUAACUGGCAGGCUUGAGUGUGGCAGAGGGGGGUGGAAUUCCACGUGUAGCAGUGAAAUGCGUAGAGAUGUGGAGGAACACCGAUGGCGAAGGCAGCCCCCUGGGCUAACACUGACGCUCAUGCACGAAAGCGUGGGGAGCAAACAGG
Molecule: ribosomal RNA, 253 nt
Filed under: uncultured bacterium
Lineage: Bacteria
Description: partial 16S ribosomal RNA
Rfam family: Bacterial small subunit ribosomal RNA
Source: RNAcentral